This 452-nucleotide ribosomal RNA is filed under the name Brevundimonas sp. Its description in RNAcentral is "bacterial SSU rRNA". It matches the Rfam family "Bacterial small subunit ribosomal RNA", at positions 1 to 504 of the family's 1533-position model. The record is from RNAcentral. Lineage: Bacteria; Pseudomonadati; Pseudomonadota; Alphaproteobacteria; Caulobacterales; Caulobacteraceae.
UGGAAGUUUGAUCCUGGCUCAGAGCGAACGCUGGCGGCAGGCCUAACACAUGCAAGUCGAACGAACUCUUCGGAGUUAGUGGCGGACGGGUGAGUAACACGUGGGAACGUGCCUUUAGGUUCGGAAUAACUCAGGGAAACUUGUGCUAAUACCGAAUGUGCCCUUCGGGGGAAAGAUUUAUCGCCUUUAGAGCGGCCCGCGUCUGAUUAGCUAGUUGGUGAGGUAAAGGCUUACCAAGGCGACGAUCAGUAGCUGGUCUGAGAGGAUGAUCAGCCACAUUGGGACUGAGACACGGCCCAAACUCCUACGGGAGGCAGCAGUGGGGAAUCUUGCGCAAUGGGCGAAAGCCUGACGCAGCCAUGCCGCGUGAAUGAUGAAGGUCUUAGGAUUGUAAAAUUCUUUCACCGGGGACGAUAAUGACGGUACCCGGAGAAGAAGACCCCGCUAACUUC